Molecule: RNA transcript, 793 nt
Organism: Dipodomys ordii (Ord's kangaroo rat)
Lineage: Eukaryota; Metazoa; Chordata; Mammalia; Rodentia; Heteromyidae
Gene: Lyrm2
Gene name: LYR motif containing 2
Exons: 3
Source: RefSeq, a predicted model, not a curated record
UCUCGGGCCAAGGUAGAGGUGUCCUGCUGCACCGACCCGUGGUAACGCACCGGCCAGACCACGCAACCGAACCAUUUCAGCUGGGCUAAUUGCACACAGGUGUUGCUGAUAGCUAUGGUAGCUUUAGGAGACGGGCGAUCCUCUCUCUGACAAGUAGGAGUCACCUCAAUUUAAGUUUCUUAAGAGUAAGCAAACGCCCCCCCCCCUCAUUACCACUUUCUUUACCAAGAUAAUAAUGAGGACACCCCCCCCAUUUCCCCUCUCCUAAAUAGUUCAUGAGAAGGCAACAGGUCCUCCACCUCUACAGAAGGAUUUUGCAAGCAAUUCGACAGGUUCCAAAUGAUUCUGAUCGCAAAUACCUGAAGGACUGGGCAAGGGAAGAAUUUAAAAGGAACAAAGGUGCUACCGAAGAGAUCUUUUGGCUGGAUGUUGGUGACUCACACAUUGGUAGGCAGAAAUGAGGACGGUAGUUCCAAGCCAGCCCCAGACCAAAAAAAAGCUCUCAAGACCACAUCUCAACCAAUAGAAAGCUGGAUUUUGAUCAAGAUGAACCUCUCCGGCAGAUGGUGGUAUACACCUAUCAUCCCAGCUUUUCCCCACAUCUGCUGAAAGUUUCCAGCCUCAAUUGAAACAUGACCUACAAGACAGCCGUACUGCUGAUAGUUCUCUGUCUUUGGAAAGGCCAGCUGGGGCAUUUGCUUAUUUCAGCCCACAGCACAGAGGAAAACACACACCAAGCCCGAAAAACCAGACUUAAUACAGCUAUUGCAAAUAAAACACUAUUGCAAAACCA